Molecule: long non-coding RNA, 299 nt
Organism: Alnus glutinosa
Lineage: Eukaryota; Viridiplantae; Streptophyta; Magnoliopsida; Fagales; Betulaceae
Exons: 3
Source: RefSeq, a predicted model, not a curated record
CUCCACCUGUGAUGCCCAAAUCAUCCGUGGGUACUGGAGCAGGUGAACACCCAAUUGCAGUCGAUGACAAUGAUCAAGCGGGAGAUGACGGCGAAAGAUAAAUCAGAAGGAUUUAGAGCAACUUUUGAAUUUUAUUGGUGCAGAACAAGGUUGAUAUACAACAGGACGUCCAGCGAAACAAUAUGAUGUUUUGGUUUUUUUUUUUUAGGUUUUUUGUAAUUAAGGAAGUACUGGUACUAUGAGUACAUUGCUUUAGGUGUUUGCUUAUUUUGAAAUAAUGGCAAUUUCAAUAGCGUAUA